Molecule: ribosomal RNA, 206 nt
Filed under: uncultured Eubacteriales bacterium
Lineage: Bacteria; Bacillati; Bacillota; Clostridia; Eubacteriales
Description: uncultured Clostridiales bacterium partial 16S ribosomal RNA
Rfam family: Bacterial small subunit ribosomal RNA
Source: RNAcentral
UGAGUAGGCGGUUACAUAUGUCAGAUGUAAAAGGCACAGGCUUAACUUGUGUUAGCAUUUGAAACUGUGCGACUUGAGUGCAGGAGAGGUAAGUGGAAUUCCUAGUGUAGCGGUGAAAUGCGUAGAUAUUAGGAGGAACACCAGUGGCGAAGGCGACUUACUGGACUGUAACUGACGCUGAGUCACGAAAGCGUGGGUAGCAAACA